Molecule: ribosomal RNA, 429 nt
Filed under: Actinomycetes bacterium
Lineage: Bacteria; Bacillati; Actinomycetota; Actinomycetes
Description: Actinobacteria bacterium partial 16S ribosomal RNA
Rfam family: Bacterial small subunit ribosomal RNA
Source: RNAcentral
UAGGGAAUCUUCCGCAAUGGGCGAAAGCUUGACGGAGCAACGCCGCGUGAGUGAUGAAGGUCUUCGGAUCGUAAAACUCUGUUAUUAGGGAAGAACAAAUGUGUAAGUAACUAUGCACGUCUUGACGGUACCUAAUCAGAAAGCCACGGCUAACUACGUGCCAGCAGCCGCGGCAAUACGUAGGUGGCAAGCGUUAUCCGGAAUUAUUGGGCGUAAAGCGCGCGUAGGCGGUUUUUUAAGUCUGAUGUGAAAGCCCACGGCUCAACCGUGGAGGGUCAUUGGAAACUGGAAAACUUGAGUGCAGAAGAGGAAAGUGGAAUUCCAUGUGUAGCGGUGAAAUGCGCAGAGAUAUGGAGGAACACCAGUGGCGAAGGCGACUUUCUGGUCUGUAACUGACGCUGAUGUGCGAAAGCGUGGGGAUCAAACAGG